Molecule: long non-coding RNA, 379 nt
Organism: Vidua macroura (Pin-tailed whydah)
Lineage: Eukaryota; Metazoa; Chordata; Aves; Passeriformes; Viduidae
Exons: 3
Source: RefSeq, a predicted model, not a curated record
UGGAAUAAUAACAUUAAGUGUCAUAGAUGGCGUACCUAAUAUUUUUUUCCCCCUACAGAAACACCUGUGGCAGUUCAAAUGUUACAUUUUUAUUACGUGUUGAGGUUGCAAGUGCAGAAGAAAGAGAUACAUUUUUAGACCAAAAUUAGACUACGUGAAAUGGAGUCCUGCAUCCCUGAAAAUGAGACGCAGUGGAAAUUCUGUUGAUCUUUCUUCCCAAGAUCAUGCAUUAACAGCAUUCUGGCAGGACUAAGCCCACGUCCUGGUUCACCACUGCUGUCCACCUCAUCAAAAAGAGUGACCUCACAAAGGUAUGAACCUUCAGUUUGCUGUGGGGAUGCUGGUCCUCUGCCUUGUGUUUGCAGGUGCUGGAGAACAA